This 464-nucleotide ribosomal RNA is filed under the name Vreelandella stevensii. Its description in RNAcentral is "partial 16S ribosomal RNA". It matches the Rfam family "Bacterial small subunit ribosomal RNA", at positions 338 to 795 of the family's 1533-position model. Lineage: Bacteria; Pseudomonadati; Pseudomonadota; Gammaproteobacteria; Oceanospirillales; Halomonadaceae. The record is from RNAcentral.
CCUACGGCGGCAGCAGUGGGGAAUAUUGGACAAUGGGCGAAAGCCUGAUCCAGCCAUGCCGCGUGUGUGAAGAAGGCCUUCGGGUUGUAAAGCACUUUCAGUGGGGAAGAAAGCCUUGGGGCUAAUACCCUCGAGGAAGGACAUCACCCACAGAAGAAGCACCGGCUAACUCCGUGCCAGCGGCCGCGGUAAUACGGAGGGUGCGAGCGUUAAUCGGAAUUACUGGGCGUAAAGCGCGCGUAGGCGGUCUGAUAAGCCGGUUGUGAAAGCCCCGGGCUCAACCUGGGAACGGCAUCCGGAACUGUCAGGCUAGAGUGCAGGAGAGGAAGGUAGAAUUCCCGGUGUAGCGGUGAAAUGCGUAGAGAUCGGGAGGAAUACCAGUGGCGAAGGCGGCCUUCUGGACUGACACUGACGCUGAGGUGCGAAAGCGUGGGUAGCAAACAGGAUUAGAUACCCGAGUAGUC